Molecule: ribosomal RNA, 253 nt
Filed under: uncultured bacterium
Lineage: Bacteria
Description: partial 16S ribosomal RNA
Rfam family: Bacterial small subunit ribosomal RNA
Source: RNAcentral
UACGGAGGGUGCAAGCGUUAUCCGGAUUCACUGGGCGUAAAGGGUGCGUAGGCGGGUUUUUAAGUCAGGGGUGAAAUCCUGGAGCUCAACUCCAGAACUGCCUUUGAUACUGAAGAUCUUGAGUCCGGGAGAGGUGAGUGGAACUGCGAGUGUAGAGGUGAAAUUCGUAGAUAUUCGCAAGAACACCAGUGGCGAAGGCGGCUCACUGGCCCGGUACUGACGCUGAGGCACGAAAGCGUGGGGAGCAAACAGG